RNAcentral lists this unclassified non-coding RNA (225 nucleotides) under rhizosphere metagenome. RNAcentral's name for it is "partial ribosomal RNA internal transcribed spacer region". The record is from RNAcentral.
GUAGGUGAACCUGCGGAAGGAUCAUUAAUGAAUAAAUAGGUGUAAUCUUUUAACAGAUUCACUGACCCUUCAUUUUUCAAACUCUUGUGCAUUUAUUAAUGGUGAUUAGAAGAAGGAAACUUCUUCUUUUCACGUCUAUCAUUUUAAAAAACUUUAAUAGUCAGAGUAUGUUUUAAAAAUUUUAUAAUUAAAAAAAAACUUUCAACAACGGAUCUCUUGGCUCUC